RNAcentral lists this long non-coding RNA (451 nucleotides) under Malus domestica (apple). RNAcentral describes it as "long non-coding RNA (MDOM_LNC020679)". Lineage: Eukaryota; Viridiplantae; Streptophyta; Magnoliopsida; Rosales; Rosaceae. The record is from RNAcentral.
AUUUAAAUGGAGCUAAAUGAAAUGAAAAUCCAAUUCUCAUUUAAAGAGACAAAACCAUUUUGUUCUCAUCCUAAUUUGGGCCAAAAUGCAAUAAUCUCAACUUUUUGGGCUAUGUUGCAAAACUUAAACUUUUGAGCUCAUUUUGUAAAAACACAAAAGUCCACUACUUCAUGUAAUCACAACUAGAACCCAAAAAUUUCAACAAAUUGAAAAACAUCAUUAAAGGAACAAAACAAUUUGUCCUUUAAUGAUUUUGGGCCUUUACGUAAAUACGUAAACUUUUGGGCCAAAGUUGCAAAUACACAAAAGUACCAAAACUUUAUGUAAUUGCAUAAAAACCCCAAAAGCAUCCCACUUGUAGGGUGGCCGGUUUUAGAUAGAGUGAGGAAUGCAAAAUUUUGAAAUUUUUCAACAAAGUCAUAAAGCCAUGCAAGUGGUGUGUGUGACAUAA